GUAAGGGCUAAUUUAGGGAAAAUACAAAUCUUUGUUUUGAGGGACUUUCUUGUUUUGUUUUUUGAGACAGUGUCUCGCUGUUGAAAAUGUGGAUCUUCACACUGUUAAAUCUCCUAACUGAUAAACAGGCGUCCUGCUCUGCAGCUUCCUUGGUCAACGCUCCCCAUGCCGAAGAGCCGGGCGUUGGCACGGGCCGCGAGCGCCUGGAAGUUCUUUCCUUCCUCUGCGACAGCCUUGGCCUCCUCUGGCAGACGCUCCCGAUGGGCAUCGCAGGUCCUGUGAGCCGGGUGGCCAGUUUGAGGUCGUCAGCAGAGCAUGUCCCUUCUUCAGGGCGGUGGCUUCCCGGGGAAGAGGAUGAGUUUGCCGCAUGUUUCAGCGCCCCCACGCUGCCCCGCAGACUCGGGGGGUUUGUCCCCUGCUGGGGUCCGCUGCGGGGCCGCGGCCUGGGCCACCUCCUCGUGGAUACCAGCCACCCACAGCUCCUCAGACUGACGCCCCUGCCGGCUCAGACCUCGGUGUGGUGUCACACGGGAUGGGUCUGGACGCGGCAGGGGUCAGGGUCAGGGUCAGGGUCAGGGUCAGGGUCAGGGUCAGGGUCAGGGUUAGGGUUCGGUUUAGCGGAAGGUUUUAGGGUUAAGGUUUAG
This 644-nucleotide long non-coding RNA is filed under the name Chinchilla lanigera (long-tailed chinchilla). Its description in RNAcentral is "lncRNA (ENSCLAG00000027978.1)". The record is from RNAcentral. Lineage: Eukaryota; Metazoa; Chordata; Mammalia; Rodentia; Chinchillidae.